CCGAAAGUCAGCGUUUUGUUUGACUUUCUGCGUUGACCAGCCUAUGGUCAACACGAAGUUCAUUGGAACUUCAUAACGUGAGCGUGAUCACGAUGGUUAUAGUCCAUGGCGACUAUACCUACUGAUUACACAUUAUCAAGGCUCAGUGACGAGUCGUAGUUUCGGCCAAAAUGCGCAUUCUUGCGUAUUUUGUAACCAAACUACCCGUGAGCAUCAAAGCCAUUUGUUUUGAUGCCAAACCCGUUUUCUAAACUUAGUUAAGCAUGUUCUAACAUGAUUAGCUCGUCACUUUUAGUUUAGUGCUUAUAUAGGGUCGUAAGGUAAGCGAUCUAAACCAUCGCUUAUACUUUCGAACCCGACCCAUUUGGUCGAUCAUUAGGAUCCGACCAAACACCUUAGGUGACCAUAGCUAUAACCUUCCGAGGUUAUACCUUAUGGCCACGAUGUUAGGCGUUCCAAACGCGUUCUACGCGAACGACGCGUUAAGGUAGCAUAAGCUACCUAAACGGGUCGUAAUGGGUCGUAAGCACUUAGGUUAGGUUUCAUUUUAGUAUGUAGCCUUUGUUAAACCAUAAUUCACGAGUCUCCAUACUCGUUUGGUUUACGAACCCGCAUACUAUCCGAUCCUUCCGAUUUUGGUCCGGUAGAUUAAUAUAGCUACCUAUUAGGUGCCGUUUGAUAUCCCGUGAUCUCUAGCAUUGUGUGAUUAUUACACAAGGAAUUCAAAGCAAUCUCAGGUGAGUACAUUGAACCCCAUCUUUUACUGUUUUCUAAACUGUUUUGGGGUGAAACACAUGUGCCUACUUGUUACUUUCAUGCUCUUCAUGCUUCCACGUCAUAUACCUGCUAUGUUCGUUAGUACAUUAUAGUACAUGAUUUCAUUACAUUUCAUGCUAUGUAUGCCUAUUGUGUACGUACUUAGUACAUUGUUUUACAUUACAUUUCAUGCUAUGUAUGCCCAUUGUGUGCGUACUUAGUACAUUGUUUUACAUUACAUUUCAUGCUAUGUAUGCCCAUUGUGUGCGUACUUAGUACAUUGUUUUACAUUACAUUUCAUGCUAUGUAUGCCCAUUGUGUGCGUACUUAGUACAUUGGUUUACAUUACAUUUCAUGCUAUGUAUGCCCAUUGUGUGCGUACUUAGUACAUUGGUUCACAUUACAUUUCAUGCUAUUUAUGCCCAUUGUGUGCAUAUUUAGUACAAUUGUUUACAUCACAUGCCUUCAUUUUGGUAUGACAUUUGUUUUGUUUAACAUGGAACAAUACAUUCAUUAACAUUAGCUACGCCGUUCGUUAGUAGGUAGUGGUACCAUAGGAAUUGACAACUCCCGUUCCUGAAAUCCUGGGUUUGAUUGGAUUGGAAGGAAUGACCGAAUUCAAUAUACAUAACUUAGAUAAAUCUUUAAUUUGUUUAAGGGUUUAUCGCCACAGCCUCAAGGCUUGGAUGUAUGCAUAUUUCACAAUACCGCAUAAAUGUUAAUAUCAGUAGAGCAUUCAUUGUUCCACAAAACAUAACGUUGAUUUAAACCAUGUUUUACUUCAACACCUUGUUUUGUGCAUUUCACAUAUGGUUUAGUUGAUACAUCUCACUUACCAUACAAGAUAUAUUUUGGGUACACAUUACAUGAUCUACAUUGAACAUAAACAUUUUGACAUUGAUAUACAUACUUGGUGGUUUACAUUGAACAUAGACAUUUCGAUAUGGUUUACACAAUAACACUUGACAAUUGGUUUAUACAUGAACAAUUUACAUGGUGGUUGGUUUGGGUAAAUGGUUGGAGUAACGUGGCGUAUAUAAUAUGAUACAAACAUGGUGGAUACGCCGCUGGUACUUCCUAUAUAUAAAUGCUUGUAUAAUAUUACAUAUCGUAGCGUUAUCUAAGUCAUUUCAGUUUAGACACAUUACAUUUUACACAAAUAACAUACUCCUCACAAGACAUUAUUUUUACAAAUAACUUAUCUUAUUCAACUCAUUUUACUUGGUUACUCGUUUAACCUUACACUUAUCUAUACAUAUCAUCUGAUAUUAUCGUUUUUCAAAUGGUUUACAAAGCAAGACAAAUUACAAUGUUCAUGACUGACUGUUAUUAAACAUUUCUUUAAACUCAAGUCAUGAAUCCCAUUUUCAUAAAACCUAUGUAUCUCACAGGCAUUUUUAUGCUGACGUACCUACUUUCACAUGUGUUUUCAGGAGCUAUUCCAUAGGAUGGUGAUCAUGACAUUAGGGCGGACCUGUGCCUUAGAGACUAAAAAUGAAGAUAGACUAGUUUAAUUAUGUUAUGAACUCUUUGUUUCCUGUUUAAGACAAUGUAACACUUCUGUUUGAUUAAUAAAAUGUAACUUUGGUUUCCAUGGUUAUGAAACAAUUAAUUCUGUCCACAACACUCCCCGGCGUUUCCGCCGUGGUUGCAUGUUAUACGCGGCCGGGGUGUGACAAUCUACGCUGUAAACACUAUUUACUAUCGUGUUAAACACAUGUUAAUCACGUAAUUAAGGGUCGUAAAUCACCGGUUGUCACAUUCUCCCCCUGUUACAGAAAUUUCGUCCUCGAAAUUUAGACUACGUUAACUGUGACAACUCGAGUUUCCAAGAUUCCAUUUUCGCAUUUAUUGCACGUUCAUUGUUUGUUUAGUUGUUUACUUGCACAAUUAGUUUGUUGUGAAACUGUUUUGAUUCAGUUAAGUAUAUUGUAUAUUGAACAUGGUUAUGGGUUAUUUAUGAAAGAUUUGUCAAAUGUAUGAACUUGGUGGUGAAAUUGUGAACUAUUUUGAAAUGGUGUACUUGUGUAAAAUAUGAUACUUAGGGAUGUAUAGAGUAAUUAGUGAAAUCCUAGUGAUUCUUAACCCUAAUCAUUCACUAAUCACCACACAAAAACAAAACACGUACUUCCACUUCUCUGAUCUUCUCUGGCAAUCAUCAUCUCCAUCAUUGGCACAAGUCUUCUACAUCAAUCUUGAUCUUUCAAUCUAUUUAGAAUCAAUUCAAGGUAAUUGUUAAUGAUUGUUUGUUGUCACUGAUUCUUGAUUAUGUGAUUCAUGUAAACCCUAGUUCCAUAUGUAAUGAUUCUGUGUUAUUGAAUUCUGAUUAUUGUGAAUUGAUGUUGAUUGUUGUGUAAUCAUUGCCUGAUGAUUUAGAUGAUUGAUUUGUCAAAACUAUUGAUGAUUGAUUUGAUUCUGCAUUAUGAAAGUAUGAAUUAGGGUUUUGAUCGUAUGAAUGUUAGAAUGUAACUGUUGCUUUGAUUCUGUGAAUUGGCUGUGGAAAUCACGUAUGUUGAAACUCGUUGUUAACAGUCAGGGCUUUGUGAAGUCACAAAGGUCAGAGUUUUGUGUUUGUCUGAGUUUUGUAACAACAUGCUUAGUCCGAACUUUAUACCUAACAAGAGUCUGAUUUUUGUGAUAAACAUAGUCAGAGUUUUGUAACCCUAAUUGAUAGUCCAAGUUUUAUCCUAGGGUAGAAAGUCCAAGUUUUAUCCUAGGGAAGAAAGUCCAAGUCGUUAGAUACAUGGAGCUUGCACAGGGAGGAGCUGGUCGUUUCCAAGUUUUAUCCUAGGGAAGAAAGUCCAAGUUUUAUCCUAGGGAAGAAAGUCCAAGUUUUAUCCUAGGGAAGGAAUGGAAGUCAGAGUUUUAUACAUGAAGGGAGGGGUCCGAAUUUUAACCCAGGGACUAAGGGUCCGAGUUUUUAAGCCAGGAAACCCCCCCCCCUUGGUCCGAGUUUUGUGAAGGGGGACUCCCCUGUCCGACCUUGUGAACCUUUGCCCCAUCCCCUGUCCGAGUUUUAACCCCCACCCCUUCUCUGGUCCGAAUUUGUGAGGGAGGAACCCCCUUGGUCCGAAUUUGUUGCCCUGGAAUGUUGUCUGACCUUCUGUUGUGCUGUGUUGUCAAACCUUUGUGAAUUAAGCAUGAUUGUCACCCUGAUUUGCAUGCUACUAGUCAGAAUACCACAUAUGAUAUAUGCUUAUGACAAACAUCAGUGUUGAAGCUUACUGUAUGAUUCUGUAUAUGAUUGUAUGCUACUGAAUGCAACUGUAUGAUCCUGUAUGUGUGAACAAUCACCUCAUAUCAUUCUGUACACAAUGAACACACAUAACACAAUUGCUUGUAUAUCAAGGACUUGUAAACCCUAAUUGAAUG
Molecule: long non-coding RNA, 4128 nt
Filed under: Helianthus annuus (common sunflower)
Lineage: Eukaryota; Viridiplantae; Streptophyta; Magnoliopsida; Asterales; Asteraceae
Description: hypothetical non coding rna
Source: RNAcentral